This 550-nucleotide ribosomal RNA is filed under the name fungal endophyte. Its description in RNAcentral is "eukaryotic LSU rRNA". The stretch from base 233 to 386 matches the Rfam family "5.8S ribosomal RNA". Lineage: Eukaryota; Fungi. The record is from RNAcentral.
GUAACAAGGUCUCCGUUGGUGAACCAGCGGAGGGAUCAUUACUGAGUUACCGCUCUAUAACCCUUUGUGAACAUACCUACAACUGUUGCUUCGGCGGGUAGGCCGUCCCCUGAAAAGGACGCCUCCCGGCCCGGAACGGACCCCCCGCGGGACCGGACCCGGCGCCCGCCGGAGGAUAACCAAACUCUAUUGCAACGACGUUUCUUCUGAGUGGCAUAAGCAAAAUAAUCAAAACUUUUAACAACGGAUCUCUUGGUUCUGGCAUCGAUGAAGAACGCAGCGAAAUGCGAUAAGUAAUGUGAAUUGCAGAAUUCAGUGAAUCAUCGAAUCUUUGAACGCACAUUGCGCCCGCCAGCAUUCUGGCGGGCAUGCCUGUUCGAGCGUCAUUUCAACCCUCAAGCUCUGCUUGGUGUUGGGGCUCUACGGUCGACGUAGGCCCUCAAAGGUAGUGGCGGACCCUCCCGGAGCCUCCUUUGCGUAGUAACAUUUCGUCUCGCACUGGGAUCCGGAGGGACUCUUGCCGUAAAACCCCCCAAUUUUCCAAAGGUGA